AUUGAACGCUGGCGGCAGGCCUAACACAUGCAAGUCGAGCGGAUGAAGGGAGCUUGCUCCUGGAUUCAGCGGCGGACGGGUGAGUAAUGCCUAGGAAUCUGCCUGGUAGUGGGGGAUAACGUCCGGAAACGGGCGCUAAUACCGCAUACGUCCUGAGGGAGAAAGUGGGGGAUCUUCGGACCUCACGCUAUCAGAUGAGCCUAGGUCGGAUUAGCUAGUUGGUGGGGUAAAGGCCUACCAAGGCGACGAUCCGUAACUGGUCUGAGAGGAUGAUCAGUCACACUGGAACUGAGACACGGUCCUGACUCCUACGGGAGGCCGCAGUGUGGAAUGUUGGACAAUAGGCGAAAGCCUGAUCCAGCCAUGCCGCGUGUGUGAAGACGGUCUUCGGAUUGUAAAGCACUUUAAGUUGGGAGGAAGGGCAGUAAGUUAAUACCUUGCUGUUUUGACGUUACCAACAGAAUAAGCACCGGCUAACUUCGUG
Molecule: ribosomal RNA, 484 nt
Filed under: uncultured bacterium
Lineage: Bacteria
Description: partial 16S ribosomal RNA
Rfam family: Bacterial small subunit ribosomal RNA
Source: RNAcentral